Molecule: long non-coding RNA, 1433 nt
Filed under: Musa acuminata (dwarf banana)
Lineage: Eukaryota; Viridiplantae; Streptophyta; Magnoliopsida; Zingiberales; Musaceae
Description: long non-coding RNA (MACU_LNC002803)
Source: RNAcentral
GCAAGAAAAUUUAAGAAAUAAAAAUCCUAACUAAUCAUUAUCUAGCAAAAAAUCUAGUGAUAAGACCCAAAAGACUUUUAUAAGAUAGAAAAUUACCAAGAAAAGAAAAUGAAUCAGAAAGAUUAAAUGAAGUUAGGAAAUCCUGAUAGAGUUGUCAUGCUAGAUAUAACUUACAAAAUUACAGCCAAGAAUUUCAGUAUCAUAUAAUCAUGACAUGCUACCAUCGUACAACAUAGCAGGUGCCAAGGCAUGUGUUCUCCCAAUUAUUACACCUGGGACUCAACAAGUGUGUUCACAUAAUUCCAGUAUGAUAUGACCAGGGCAACUAAGCAUUACUUUCAAGAGGCGUCCAAUUACAGAAGGCUCUGCAAAUGAAAAUAGAAGACUGGUGGGAUGCAAUAAUUGCUUAGAACAAAAGUCAGAUCUAGCAAUGGGAAAACAUCGUGUGAUGAGAUUAAAGGCUACCAAAAUUUUGUAGCUAUUGGUAUUGGUGAAGUUGGCUCAACCCAAGCAGAAGGCUUGAUAAGACUAUAAAGUGAAUUUGAGGUCUCCAAAGAGACUUGUUUUUAGGGUACUGAAAUCAGUGGAUUUUGUAGCUAUUGGUAUUGGUGAAGUUGGCUCAACCCAAGCAGAAGGCUUGAUAAGACUAUAAAGUGAAUUUGAGGUCUCCAAAGAGACUUGUUUUUAGGGUACUGAAAUCAGUGGCUAUUAUAAUAAGUCCAAUACUUUAAUAAUUUUAGUACCGAUUAUUUCUUGAAUGGAUCAUCAUGAGGCAGGAUAAUAACCUCAUGCAAUUGUCCAUCAGCUCCUAAUGAUCUUAACUUUCACUUUCAUGUUAAAAUAACCGUUGAACCUCAUGAACUACAGGAUUUAUAACACACCAGAAGUCCAUUCGUAUAGGCUAUUCUAUUGACCAUAAGAGAAGGCCAGUGAAAAAUUAGAAAAAGAAGGCAGAAGCACUUCAAGAAUAUUCCCGUCACCACUGUCACUUUCACAUCUAUUUUCUUUGUUCUUUUUUUUUUCUGUUCUUAUCAGCAUCAAAAGAUUUUUUUUCUAAAUACCUAUUUGAUUAAGGCAGUCACCGCAAAUGUAAGAGAGAGUAUAUUUUGUAUCAAUAUCCUGAAUUUGGCUUUGCUACUAUACUUGUGAGCUGUGAAAUGAAUGUCAGCUUAGUGAAUUUGGGGAAUAGAGAGGCAAAAGAAUGAUGGCUAAACCAAUAUCACUAGCUCAGAAGACACUAGGCUAAGCCAUAGGCAUUGAUACACAAGACUGCUAAGUCCCCAGACGUUUAAAACUUGUCACAUAACCAACAAAAAAAAUUGAUAUGGAAAAUUUUGUCAUUGUCCAUCACACUGAAAAGUAAGAUAAUACAACACAAGUUCAACAAAAAGAAUGUACUAUGGAAAUUUGAUCAGGACAUAUACAUAUAAUAA